Molecule: ribosomal RNA, 393 nt
Filed under: uncultured bacterium
Lineage: Bacteria
Description: partial 16S ribosomal RNA
Rfam family: Bacterial small subunit ribosomal RNA
Source: RNAcentral
AUACGGAGGAUGCGAGCGUUAUCCGGAUUUACUGGGUUUAAAGGGAGCGUAGGUGGGAUAUUAAGUCAGCUGCGAAAGUUUGGGGCUCAACCUUAAAAUUGCAGUUGAUACUGGUUUCCUUGAGUACGGUACAGGUGGGCGGAAUUCGUGGUGUAGCGGUGAAAUGCUUAGAUAUCACGAAGAACUCCGAUCGCGAAGGCAGCUCACCGGGCCGGAACUGACACUGAUGCUCGAAAGUGCGGGUAUCAAACAGGAUUAGAUACCCUGGUAGUCCGCACAGUAAACGAUGAAUACUCGCUGUUUGCGAUACACUGUAAGCGGCCAAGCGAAAGCGUUAAGUAUUCCACCUGGGGAGUACGCCGGCAACGGUGAAACUCAAAGGAAUUGACGGGG